Molecule: ribosomal RNA, 577 nt
Filed under: unidentified microorganism
Description: bacterial SSU rRNA
Rfam family: Bacterial small subunit ribosomal RNA
Source: RNAcentral
UACACAUGCAAGUCGAGCGGGGANANNGUAGCUUGCUACNNUUGUACCUAGCGGCGGACGGGUGANGUAAUGCUUAGGAAUCUGCCUAUUAGUGGGGGACAACAUUCCGAAAGGAAUGCUAAUACCGCAUACGCCCUACGGGGGAAAGCAGGGGAUCUUCGGACCUUGCGCUAAUAGAUGAGCCUAAGUCAGAUUAGCUAGUUGGUGGGGUAAAGGCCUACCAAGGCGACGAUCUGUAGCGGGUCUGAGAGGAUGAUCCGCCACACUGGGACUGAGACACGGCCCAGACUCCUACGGGAGGCAGCAGUGGGGAAUAUUGGACAAUGGGCGAAAGCCUGAUCCAGCCAUGCCGCGUGUGUGAAGAAGGCCUUUUGGUUGUAAAGCACUUUAAGCGAGGAGGAGGCUACUGAGAUUAAUACUCUUGGAUAGUGGACGUUACUCGCAGAAUAAGCACCGGCUAACUCUGUGCCAGCAGCCGCGGUAAUACAGAGGGUGCGAGCGUUAAUCGGAUUUACUGGGCGUAAAGCGUGCGUAGGCGGCUUUUUAAGUCGGAUGUGAAAUCCCUGAGCUUAACUUA